GCUAAACGCGAAGAACCUUACCGGGGCUUGACAUCUUUCUGACCGCCUGGGAAACCAGGUCUUCUUCCUUCGGGAAGACGGAAAGACAGGUGGUGCAUGGUUGUCGUCAGCUCGUGUCGUGAGAUGUUGGGUUAAGUCCCACAACGAGCGCAACCCUUGUCCUUAUUUGCCAGCCUGUUUACAGGCGUACUUUAAGGAGACUGCCGUAGAUAAUACGGAGGAAGGUGGGGAUGACGUCAAAUCCUCAUGCCCCUUACGUCCCGGGCUACACACGUGCUACAAUGGUCUGUACAGAGGGUAGCCAAGAAGCAAUUCGGAGCCAAUCCCAAAAAGCAGGCCCCAGUUCGGAUUGGAGGCUGCAACUCGCCUCCAUGAAGUCGGAAUCGCUAGUAAUCGCGGAUCAGCACGCCGCGGUGAAUCCGUUCCCGGGUCUUGUACACACCG
RNAcentral lists this ribosomal RNA (444 nucleotides) under uncultured bacterium. RNAcentral describes it as "bacterial SSU rRNA". It matches the Rfam family "Bacterial small subunit ribosomal RNA", at positions 954 to 1392 of the family's 1533-position model. The record is from RNAcentral.